RNAcentral lists this long non-coding RNA (42961 nucleotides) under Lactuca sativa (garden lettuce). RNAcentral describes it as "long non-coding RNA (LSAT_LNC007712)". The record is from RNAcentral. Lineage: Eukaryota; Viridiplantae; Streptophyta; Magnoliopsida; Asterales; Asteraceae.
GGAAACACAACAUCAUUACUUUUAUUUUUACUAGUCUAACAAUAAUCACUAUGUGUAUCACACUGAUAGUUAACUCAAUAUAACCAUACUCUAUUACAUCAAGAUACAUUAUUAUGAUACAUAGUAUUGCAACACACUUAUGUAGUCAAUUCCAAUAUUAUUCAUAUACUCCCAAGUAUGGUCAUUCUACAAAGCUUUCCUCCGAUCCCAAGCACGUCUGAAUUUGACAAACACCAUGUCAUUCAACCUAGGUUGUUCCAAUCUAUUCCAUUUCUUCACGUGAAGCUAAUAGAAGAAAGAGAAGAAAAGAAAGUAAGAAUUACAAAACAUGGAAUUUUAGCAAUAAUAUCUAAAAAUCGUUUUUCAGCUGAACAUAAUAGAUUUUCAAUAUGAAAAACACAGCAAUAAUAAAAAAUAGAUAUUUAGUAAAAAACAGAAUUUUAGUAAAAACAAAUAAAAAUAAAAAUUUACGUGUUGAAAACUAAUAAAUCAUACAAAAUUCUUAGAAAUGCUUGAUAGAGUGCGUAAAGGUCAUCCCUCUACUUCUGGUUUGACCCAUAUGUGCAUGGAAACUUGAAUAUGUUAUUGCCCCUGCCAAAAAAGAUUAAAACAUUUUAAGUUAAAUCAUUUCGUAUUGAUCAUUAAAUAUUGUAAAAGCACACAAACCAACUGGAGUUUAGAUGCAAGAAAUAACAAUAAUAGUUUUAGUGAUAUGUUUAUUAUACCAUUCAAGUUUGUAUAAAUUUCAUAACAGUGUUGAUGCCUUGAAGAGAUGAAAUAACAAUCAACAAAAAACACAUUUAAAAUAGCAUGAUGAUGAUGAUCAAAAGGACUUGCACAUGCCAUACCAUUCAUGUGGAUACUAAAUGUAACGCUCGGUUCGGAUUUGCUCCGUUGCUUGGGGUUGCAGCCUAGUCAUUAGUUGCCUCAAGGCUUAGGGCUUCUGGAAAGGAAGUUUUUUGCCUAUUUCGGAUGUGGGUGUCAUGGUAUAAGUGAUCCAAGUAUUUGAUUGUGUCUUCGGAAACCAAUUGUAUAAUCGUAAUUUGAUAUCUUGGUCUUUUAUGAGUUUAGGGUUUUGCUUGAGAGGUUUUAAGGCUUGGUUGUGUUGUUAGGAGCGCAGGGCUUCUCCCCACCUUUUUGUGGAUAUAAGGUUCGCUAGAAAUGGGCCUAGAAUGAGGGAGUUAUGGUAUUUCGAAGUUAUUGGCCAUUUUGGUCCCUAAUGGAAAUAAUUAGCGAGGCAGUCCCAUGCAUGGAAGGUGGCAUGCGCGUAAGUACGCCCAACGUUAGCUAGGGUACUCCCAACAUACGUGUGGAAAAUGGACACGGCUUUAGGAGACGUACACCCAACGUACGUUCAAGAUCCCCAAAACCCUAAUUCUUAGGGUUGGCUCAAUAUUUAAACCCUAAAUCUCGAAGUAUAGCUUCAUCCAAGAGUGUGGAAAAUGGUGUGAGCCUCUCUUUCAUCCUACAGUGUCUCAAACCAUAAAUCUCGAAGUAUAGCUUCAUCUAAGAGUGUUGUGAGCCUUGUAUGUGCAUUUUUGGUGGAUUCUAGCAUAUUUCAAGAAGUGGAAGCUUGGUACAAGGUGGUCGUUCAAGGAAAGGCUUGUGGAUCUGGACUUUUUGCUUUAUUUUCAGCUCAUUGAAGGUAAAAAGUUCUUAGCUUGAUCAUUAAAAGUUGAGAUGAUUUUAUGGUUUUUGGUUCCAUUUUGACCUCAUGAGCAAGAUCUAGUGGUUGGACACCACUUCAGAAGCUUUGAGUUGCCACUCUUGGUAGAUUUAAGGUUAUAAGUUCAUAAAAAUGCUUGCUUGAUACUUAUAUAUGGUCCAUGCAUGGUCUUGUUGGGUUUUAAUGGAUUAAAAUGGUUAUUGGGUCUCAUGGGUCAUGUAAAUGCAUAAAGGUGCCGACUUUAAGCAUUAUGAGUUUAUAUGGAAGGUAUUUUGUGGUCAUUAUGGAAGGACUUAACGGAUUACGUCAUGAAAUAAGCUUUGGGAAGUUUGUGGAGUACGCCCCGCUUACUAAGGUCUUUGUGGUACGCCCUGCAUACCAUUGUGUACGCCCACUGUAAUGGCCUAAUAUUGUUUUGGGCUUUGUGGGCCCAAUGGAUUUGAGCCUUGUGGAACCUUUGGGUUUUCUGAGAUUUUGUUAUUGGACUAGGAGUUGUUGGGCAUUUGGUUAAGUCCACUUGGCAUUGGGCCUAAAAUGGAAAAUUAGGGCAUUAAUGGGCUUUUAUGGAUUUUAUAGUUUUGGUCUGGGGCCUUGGUUAUGAGUCUUGAUGGGCCAGGGGUAAAAUGGUCAUUUUAACCCACGGUUGGUUUAUGGAUCAUGGUUUGGAAUUUAGUUCCUAAUUGGAUGUUGUUUUGGUAAUUGUUAGUUUGGGAAAUCGUCAGGGCAGCAGCUAGGGAUUUCAUACAGUGAGCUUCAAUAUUCGAUGGGAGUUUCCUAACUAUUGUAUGGGUCGAAGGCACCAAAUGCCAACCCAUAUGGUUUAGGGACCCAGGGGUUAGCCCUUGUCAUCAUUCAUGAAAGACUUGGAGGCGGCUCCUGGCACACUGUAUGCAAGACCAAAGUCUAAACUCUGGCAAGUAAUUAGUGAAGUAUUAUUGUUUGUAUGCUAGUUGUCUUUGUGAUGCUUGCAUGGAAGACCAGGAGGUAGCUCCUGGAACUUGUCUAUAAGACCCAGGGGUGUGGCCCCCGGCCUAGCAAGGAAGACCAUGAGGUGGCUCGUGGCAUAAUGGCAAGACUAUGUGCGACACAUAGCACCUUUAUUGUUUAUGAUAUAUGAUUGAUAUGUAUGGCUCGCGGUUAUGUAUGGCAUGCAUGGAUCGUUUGAUAUGUAUGGUAUGUGGUAUUUGGGGAACUCACUAAGCUUUGUGCUUACGGUUUUCAAUUUUGUUUCAGGUACUUCAGUUUUCAAGUAAAAGGGGCUCGGGACGAUCGCAGCGCAUACACCCGUGAUUUCCGUAAAAUGUGAUCCAUGGGAUUAGACUCUAACAAUUGUUUAUUUGAAAUGCUUUUCAAUGUAUGGAACAAAGUUAUCAAAGUAUUUUACCUAUAUUAAAAAUGAAUUUUUUACCUUGGAUUUUUGGGUCGUUACAAGUUAGUAUCAGAGCAUUGGUUUGAGAGAUUCGGGCAUACUCUCGAGUGGGCCUGAACUCAAACUGAGGGUUUGGUGAAAAAAGUUUAUAAUUAAACAUUUAAUUAAAAAAGGAAUUUUUUAACAAAGAAAUGGGUGUGAUGUGUGCAAUCGACCGAGCUCAAGUAAGUGGCUCCCAAAAUACCAAUACAUUUUAUUAUGAUAUAUCUUAUGAUUAUGAGAAUUUCAGGCUAGGUUAGGGCUAAGGAUCUGCUCAAAAUUCAUGAUAGGAGAGAUGCCUUUAUAUGUCUGAUUGUAUGAGCUUUAGUAUCGCAUGCUAGUAUAGAUUUUUGAUAAGAGGAUAGAAUAAUUUGAUUGGUUAGUUUUUCCGUUGUCCAAAUGUUGCUUACUUUGUGCUUUGUGGGACUCUUAGAAAUGUGAGCUAGCUACUAAGUGCAUAUGCUAAGUCAAAUGUGGCACAUGAUGGAUAAUCUCAGAGUGAUGGACUUGGCCCUAUUACGCAGCUCUCGUUUGAGUCCAACCGUUCUAGGUUUGAGUCUUUUACUCAAAGGAUUAUCUGAUCUUUGUUGUAUGUGACUAUAUUUAUGAGGUAGCUAGUUGACAUUACUAGGAAUCCUUCAGCUGCUGAGGACUGGGUGGGGUCGGGAACCUAGGAAAUCCUAGGAUAUGCUUCAGUGGGUUAGUGAUGUGGUUUAAUGAGUUUUGGGUGAUUUGGCUUGAGGAAGUGACUUAGAGGAUUCAGGAGGAUUGCUGAGAAAAGUAUGGAUAGGCGUGGAAGGUAGUAUUGGGCCUGUACUACUGAAAGCACAUGAUCCAUACUUGAAUCGAUGAGAGUCUUGGAGAAUCUAAGAAACUUAGAGGGGGUGAUUCUUGAGUAAGUUUUGAUCAUUGGUUUAUGGUAUUUCAGUUUGGAGAUGAGCUCUCAGGGAGGUGGUUAUGGCUCUGCUUCUGGUUUUGGUUAUGGUUCAGGUUCUGGCUUAGGUGCGGAUGCUGAGACGGUUAGUGAGCAGUUGUGGGAGUUUAUAUCAUUGAAGAUUUCUCUCUGUAUUUCGUAGAUAGUGGAUGAGUGCUUGGGUGCGUUUUGUGCGAAGGUUGUGGAUAUCAUUGGAGCUUGCACUCUGUCCUUCCGGGAGUUCUGUGCUUGUGAAGCUCCUGCAUUCCAUGGGGAGAGGGACCCAUUCUCAGUAUGAGGUGGUUAGCAGAUAUGACUAACCCGUUCAGGAUGAGUUUCUGCCCUGAGGAGGCAAAGGUCAGAUAUGCUUUCUGCCUGUUGAAGGACUGGACACGUGAUUAGUAGGAAGAGAUUGGUAGUGAGUUGGGUGAUGAUGUUGUUGAUGCUAUGUCAUGGGAUGACUUCUCGACCUGGUUUCGAGCUGAGUUUGCACCCACAAUUGAGGUGCAACAGUUGGCGCGUGAGUUUCUGGAUCUCCGCCAGACGACUGAGACUGUGGCAGAGAUCACUGCCAAGUUCUGAGAAAGGACUUUGUUGGUACCGUAGUAUGCAGCAGAUGAGGAGAUAAAGAAAGUGAGGUAUCAUGAUAUGUUGUGGGAUGAAAUCAGGGAGUUCAUGAGUAUUUCGGGUUGCGAGACCCUGAAUGAUAUGAUUUCUAGAGCCCGAGAGCGGGAGAUUGAUGUGGAGCACAUUGGGAGGAAGGGGUCUGAUCAGUUGCAUGCAUUGGAGGGUCCUGGGAAGAGACCUAAUACUUUUGAUCAGCUUUCGAGAGGCCAGCAGGGUCGGGUUCAGUGCAACACAUGCGGGAAACUGAAUGAUGGAGUUUGUCAUUCCAAGGGUUAAGGCUACUGCAUGUGUGGCAGGGUUGGUCACAUGAGCAGGGAUUGUCCUCAGGGGGCAAGCCCGUUAUGUUUUUACUGCGUUUAGGAGGGCCACAAGAAGUCCGACAUUCCAAGGUUGACGGAGGAGCAGUGCGUGCGCCCGCUCCGGCUACUUUGAGGAUCAUCGUGGACAAAAGGGUAGGGCAGAAGCCCCAACGGAGAGGAGUCAGAGUUUGUGGGUUCGGAGUGUUCAACGUUAUCUUAGGUUGUGGUCUAGGAUUGGUUUAGGGGUAUUAUGUGGAAGGUCUACGGUCAGGGUUCAGUGGAGUGGUUAUCUAACAUCGUCGGGGUUCGGUGAGUUAAGUCUUGUGCUUUGGUUGGCUUUUGGAAGUGCCAAGGGAAGUAGUCUUAUGUUGAGGUUUUGGUUGGAGCGUCGGAUAUUUGGAAUUCAAGAUUUUAUUAUGGUAUCAUUUCAAGGCAUCUAGGGUAAUCAGUUCCGUUAGGAUUCGAGAAGUUUUCAUCUAGUCUUUAGAGGUUGUGCGGUCUUUUGGAGUUUGGCUAGUGAUGGAGAAUUAACCUUGGUAAGCACCGAUUUUCAGCAGAUCGGUCAUUUAAAGGUAAGAUGGAUUGGGAUCCUUCAAUUAUCGCGUGCAGCGAGGACUUAGUCGAACCAAAGUGGGGGGAAUUGUUUAGGUGUUCAGGAUCAGAAGCAGGUUGGAAACUUGGCUGAGUUUCGUAUCCUCGUCUCGGAGGAGGGCGGUCCAAGUGGUUGUCCGGAUUGAGGAUUGUGUGAGUUGGGACUUUGGGAAACUUCCCAACAUUGGUUAUUUGCGAACCACUCUUCCGUUCGAGCUCUGACUGACUGUACACACCGCAUCUUCCUGAAAUUCAAGGUUAAGUCAAGGUCCACAUUCCCGAUCCCAAGCCAACAAUCAAAAAAGAACAUGACAAGGGAUCGAGCCCAUGUCCUUAACCCAAAUCCUUUUUAUUAUAAUUUCUUUUUCAAAACCGUUUUGCAAAAACUCUCGGAUCCUAGUCUGAGACUGGAUUCACACAAGCAUUCCUCCAAUUCACUCAAACCAGGGCUCCGAUACCAACUUGUAACGUCCCAUUUACACAAACAAAAAUUUUCAUUUUUCUUAAUGUAAAACUUUGCAAUUUAGAAAUCCUUUAUUAAGAAUACGUUUAUUCUCAAUUACAUUUUUAUUUUGAAUCGGAGUUUUAUAGAAAACACGGAAUCCUCAUUGCUGCUGAUGCGCAUGUACCGUCCUGCCUUCGCCUUCCCAUAGACACCAAUAAUACCUAAGAAUAUAGACAACUGGAUAAGCAUAAAGCUUAGUGAGUUUCCCCGAAACUAUCAAAAACCAUAUAACCACCUAAUACAUUGCAACAUAUAUAUANNNNNNNNNNNNNNNNNNNNNNNNNNNNNNNNNNNNNNNNNNNNNNNNNNNNNNNNNNNNNNNNNNNNNNNNNNNNNUAUAUAUUGUUUGCAAUGGAAUCUCUCCAUAGUCUUCAACUGGUAUGCCAUGGGCUCCCCCCAUGUUCUUUACCUGGAAUGCCAUGGCCUCCCCCAUGGUCUAAUAACCAAGUGUCAUGGGCUCCACCAUGGUCUUCACAUAAGUCAUUACAUGUUAACUAGCAAACACUAUUGCAUAUCAACUAUUAAGACCAUGUAUCAAGUAAUGGGCUAUCAUUGGUGCCUUCGACCCAUUGGUAUAAUGAGAAGACUCACUACCGCCUACUAGUCCUCUCACAGCGUAUAGUCAUGUUACCAGCUAAGCCCCAUAGAAUGUGUAACCAUAAGUAACCAGAGGUGAGAUAGACACCUAAACAGAUGGUCCUACUCUAGAGUCACAACCAAACAAGGAACAUGCAAGAGAGUCUAGACCAAGAGUUCUCAUGCUAUCCUUCAUGACCAUAGACAAUCCCUAAGGGCACUCCAUAGAUGAUAACCAACAAGCAUAUAUACAUACAGUCCUAUAGAUUAUUAUAGCAAAGAAACAUACUCAAUACAAGGAGACAGAUCUAAUAGAUCACUACAGCAUAGCAGCAUACUCGAUAUCAGAAUACAAAUGUAUUAGGUCUGUAACGACCCAAAUUUCAAGGCCAAAAAUUUCAUUUUUGAAUUAACGCAUUAAAUAAACAUUUUACCAAAACCUUUUCAAUAAAACCUGCAUUACACAGUCAUAAUGUUGUAUUUCAAACCAUAAUAUCAUAAGUAUUAAAAAUUAGAGUACAGUCCCAGAAACAUCUUGUGGAAACAUGUGUGUGUGAUGCGCUACUACGCCGCCGACUCUUUCCCCUUCGACGAAGAGGUACCAGAAACCAAAACCAAAAUUGUAAGCACAAAGCUUAGUGAGUCCCCCCAUCAUUCCACAUACCAUACAAUAUCGUCGUUAUCUUUCAACCGGUAACCAUCAUCGGUAUCUUUCAACCGGUAACCAUCAUCGAUAUCUUUCAACCGGUAAGCAUCAUCGGUAUCUUUCAACCGGUAAUCAACAUCGGUAUCUUUCAACCGGUAACUGGGGACUAUUUCACCCCUACCACUAGCAUACAAUCAACAGAUAUAAGCGUGAAGUCAGGCAUGUCCAGCUACUGACCUACCCUUGGGUCCUAAUGUAACAUCCGGGUUCCCAGGUAUAUUAUUUUAUUCAUUUAUUUGGGGUUUGUGGAGGGACUCAAUGAGUUGGUGCUUAGACUCGCCGAGUAGGGUCGCGAAUUCUUAUCCGAGUUGGUGCCCGGACUCGGCGAGUUCAUGGGUGGACUCAGCGAAUCCGCGAUGUUCAAUGAAAACCUAAUUUCGUGGGUUUGGGACCUAUUUAAAGGCCCUUAUGGCUGUCAAUUGCGGCUACCAAACCCCAGAGAGAAACCCUAAGAGAGCUGGAGCAUUUGUGAGGGAGAAGAGGCCAUUUUCGAUCCUUGUGUUAGUGUUAUUACAAGAAGAAGGUGACCAGGGCAAGAGGGGGCCAAAGAGGGUGCUAUUCUGUGAAGCUUAGAGCCCGAUACAACAUUCUUGAGGUAUUGAUUCGACCCUUCUUUAGUUUUGGUGAUUAUUUUUGGAGUUAGGGUUUUCUAGACCCUUUAGAGACUAGAUUUGUUGGAUAUUUGGCCCCUUCUUGUGUCAAGGCUUUGGAUCUGGAUCCAAAGAGGUCCAGAGACCUUAACCCUCUGAGCUUUAUGUGUAUUAACGGAAGGAAUGAGACUAGGAUGUCAUAUUAGGGGUCAUUUCUUCGAAUAGAGUUCUUGAGCCCUUGCAUGAGCACCAAGAUCUGAACUUUACGUGAUUAACAUGCCUAGGAAGGCCAGAUUUUAUAGAUUGGAGAAAUGGAUCUGACCUCAGGAGGUCAUUUCAGUUUGAGCAGGGCAUGAACUCGUCAAGUCCAAGGGCAGACUCAACGAGUAGGGCUAGGGUUUUCCCGAUAAUCACAUAGUUGGUGACUCGCUGAGUUGAGGAACGACUCAGUGAGUCGGAAGGGAACUAGAGGACUUGGUCCACGACUCAAGAGUCGGACUCGACGAGUUUGGACGAGUUGUCCCAUGAUUCGCGAUCAGUGUUGAUAUGAUGAGUGGAGGUUUGACUCAGUGAGUCAAGUGAGGACCAGGAGUGUGAAGGACACGCAUGGACUCGCCGAGUCACAUUGGUGCACUCGACGAGUCUGGUCAAGGUUGACAAUUGACUUCGUUGACUUUGGGGGUUUAGUUAAUGAUUGGACAUUAGAGUCAAUGGAGGGGUAAAAUGGUCUUUAACCUUUCUAUGGGUGCCAAGAGAGGGUUGAGUCCAGUCUCGAGAGUUAUAUUUAUGAAAGUAUUUAAUUUAUGUGAUUAAGAGGAGGCUAGAUCGUAUUUCUACCGAGACAGAGAUUUAUAGAGACAUCUGAGGUGAGUCUUCUCACUAUACUUUACCUAGAGUGGUAACAGAGUUAUGUGACAGUAUUUAGAGUUAUGUGACAGAGUAUCUUGUAUGCUAUCUAUGUUAUGUGUUACACUGCGUUAUUUCUAUGUGAUUUAUGUUGUGCAUGUUCCAGAGUUAGGACUAGAAGGUCCACAGAGUUAUGGACCGGAAGGUUAACAUAGUUAUGGGAUGGAAAUCCCCUGAGACACUUGGAUCGGAAGAUCCUAUAGAGUUAUGGCCUGGAAAGGCGUAUGUGUUAGAGUGGUUUUUUGGGGAACUAACUAAGCUUCGUGCUUACAGUGUUAUGUGUUAUGUGUUUUAGUUUUUCUCAGGAUCACGGGACCGCACCGGCUCGAUUGUACACACUAGAGAAAGCGUUUGUUUUGAGGAUCCUGGUUUAUUAAAUUGAUUGAACAAAAGAGUCAUGUAUUGUAAUUUAAACAAAAAGGAGAUUUUUAUGAAAAAUGUUAAAGAGAUAAAUGAUUUUAAAUGAAAAAAUUUGUUUUGAAAAUUUCGGUGUUGCAGAGUUCUGUGGUACUUUUGAAAAUGAGCACAGCAAGCGGAGUUAUCACCCAGAGUGAGUCCUAUGUAUUCUUCGAUGCCCGAAUGUUGCUUGCUUCGUGCUUUAUGAAACUCUCGAUGAUGGGAGUCAGCUACCAAGUGAAUAUGACGAUAUUCAGGAGGUAGAUGGCUGGCAUCAUUAGGAGCUCUUCAGCAGCUGCUGGCAGAGACCUGGGAGGACCAAGGAAGAGCUUAGGGAGUAACAUUAGUCAGAUUAGUACGCUAGCGGAGUAGAGCAUUCCGAUGAGGAGCGAGCACGCAUGGUGGAAUUAGCGAACGAGAAGGUUGAGCAGCUACUUAGGAGCUCUGGAAUGGUCCAUGUGGAAAGUAUGGGUAGAUGUGGCAGGUAGUAUGUGUUGGAUAAGGUGUCUAAGUCCAUAACUAUUUCUGGUCAGUACUUGACCCGACCUGGCAUGGUCCAUUUGGGUUGCAUGGCACCAUGCAAUUAGAUAGAUUAAAUGAGAGAAAUAACACUUGGAGAUUAUUAAUAUAUUAUAAGUUCUAAUAUAUUAAUAAUAUUAUUUAAUUAGUUUGAUCAAGAAUUAAUUUAGUGAUCAAAAGAUAACUAAUUAAAUAUAUGGGUUGAUUAUGUAAAUCAUUCAUAUCUUGUAUAGUGGGCUAAGAGGCUCCAUGGAUUAUCAAGUUGGGUUCCACCCAUAGGAUGCUCCAUGGGAGUUACAAACCCAUGGGUCAUGGAAAUGAAGAGUCAUGACACAUUAGGGUUUACAUGGUGUAACCCUAGAUGUGUCAACACUAUAUAAGAAUCCCAUUCUCCACCAAAAUCUGCUACACAUAUGAAACAAGAGGGCUAGGCCAAUUUCAAGAAGUGUGUAUUCUCUCAAAAGUCUUCCCAAGAGCAUUUGGUAUUGUGUGGAGCAUUUGAGGCAUCACACUUGGGGUGCUAGGCUCACAAGGUUUCAAGGAACAUAAGCAACAACAAGGUAAGUUAUUCUAUCUUUCAUUCAAGUUAGAAAUUGUUCCCCAUGUAUGCUAGAUAGGAAUAUAACCUUGGAAUUCAACUUUGCAUGAUAAUUAGACAAACAUAGAUCCAAGGUUAUUAGGGUUGCAUGUACACUUAGGAAGUGUUAGAAUGCUCAAAACCCAUCAGUAGUAUCAGAGCCUAGGCUUGUUUGUUUGUUAUUUGUGCUUAAAAGUUGAAGAAAGUCGAAAAUCUUGCUGUCUGACUGAUGGACUCGGCGAGUCCAUGGGGAGGACUCGUCGAGUUCAUGUGUAUCUUCAACCUACUCGGCGAGUAGGUUUAUGCACUCGGCGAGUAGGGUCGACAGAGUGCAGAAUUUCGACUUGAGUUGCUGGAAAUGGAUUAGAAUCAUUACCCUAAAAUGUUUUGGUACUUGAAAACUUAUUUUAGAAGGUGUAAUGUCUUUUCUAACUCAUUUACAACAACUAGUUAUCAAAAUUACAAAGAUUAAAUGUGAUUUUGAUUCUUGAAAGUGUUCAUAUUCAUAUUCUUGUUCUUAUGAUGUUUAGAUGAUCAUAGGAAUUAUUUGUAACCUAUGUGGUAGAUUAAUUCAUGAUCAUAAUGUGUUUUAAUGGAGUCCAUAACUUGUCCUCAAGUUAUGGAAAACCAAAAGUCUCUUGGAUUAAAAACCAUUAAAAGAACACAAGAGUUAGGAAAAAUGAAAAGUCCUCAUUUUAUUACUCUAUUAAACUCAUAAGUUACAAGAAAUGAAAAGUUUUGAAAGUUUACAAAACUUGCCCUCAAGUUUUGGAACAAGUAAAGUUAAGUUAAAACUUUAGUUCCAACCCCUAGAAUUUUAAAAGUUAAAAUUCAACCCUUAUACUUAUAUUAUUAUGAUUUAAUAAUUAUAUAUAUAUGUAUAAGAACAAAGUCGUCUUACCGCUAGUACGCCUCAUUCACGAAGCCGGUCUAUAAGGUGGGUAUAAGGUUGUUGCCUAUAAAAUGGUGACUUAAUGGGUGUCCACUCUCACCCACCGCUUGCUUGAUCGGUGGAGGGUCGUUAGCCGAACGGGUAAGACAAGGACUUAUUAAUUCUCAUUCAAAGUAUGAUGAAUAUUAUAAAGUAACUAAAUGUUUUAUUAAAUUCCCAAUCUUAGUUACUUUAGGAAAAAUGUGAAUAAGGUGCUAUUCCAUGAAAUUACACUUUACACUUUGAUUAAGUCGUUGGUGGAGCGUGUGUGGUUAACCGGCACACUAACUUGGACUUAACAAGGUAGGUAAAGGGUGACUUAGGGUUUAUUAUAGUAUCGAUGGAGCGUGUGUGGUUAACCGGCACAUCGAUUGAGUGAUAAACUUUAAGGGUACCAAGUGAUUUGCAUGGUUACUUCACACCUCGUUUUGUGAUCCUCGGUAUCCCAGUCACAAAACUUGGAGGGCACACUCGAGAUUGAAACAUGCCUUUGAAAAGUUCAUUGAAUCUCAAAGAAUCUUGGAAUUUAUAAGAACCAAUCAAAACCUAAUAUGUAAUAUUUUGGUUUUCGUGGUGGAAAUUGGUGAAUCGUCAUUCACCUACCUUUCAAAUAUGGUAUAGCUUAGAUUACGACAUACCUCUUCUAAGUUAUAUUAUAUUGUGAUUGGAUCCUAGCCUUAAUAUUACAUUUGGGUGUUUUAUUAAGGACUCUCUUAUAUCUAAACUAAUCUUGUCCUCUUUUCUUCAGAUGUCUUUCAACAAUGCUUCUGGCUCUAAUCCUAAUGGCUCCUUUACCCUUAUGAACUUGUGUGGGAAAGUCACCUUUGAUGGAUCCAACUUCAAUGAGUGGAUCAGAAACAUCAGGAUGAUUACCCGCUAUGAGGAUAAAGAAUAUGUCCUUGACAAGGAGCUUAAGGAGAUUGAUGAGACCACUGAAACUCCCCAGGAGAUUGCUAACUUUCAGGCACAUGAAAGGGAUGCUACCAAAGUAGCAUGCAUCAUGAUGGCCACGAUGACAGCGAAACUCCAAAAAUCCUAUGAGGAUUUCUACCCUUAUGAAAUGCACCAAGAUCUGAUGGAUGUAGUUGUCAAAAUGGUUUAUCUCAUGUCAAAUCUGAUCCUUUUAUCCAUGAUAACAACCAUGAUGAAGGACGGGGAAUCCGUCACGAGCCACAUGCAGAAAAUGCAAAGGUAUGUGGAUCGUUUGCUGAAGCUUAAUGUGAACUUCCCUGAGGAUCUUGCAAUAGAUAUCAUUUUGCACUCCUUACCAUCGUGCUAUGAUCAAUUCCGCAUGACAUAUCACAUGAAUAAGGAAGAGGUCACACUCAGCAAACUUCAGGGACUUCUCAAGACCGUAGAAACAGGUCUUAAGGGGAAGUCGGUUGCUAUCACUCCUACUCCAAACUCAACUCCGGUUUUGGCAAUUGGGAAAAGUCGAUGGAGGAAGAGAAAGAGAUCCUCGAAGGGUACCAAGGCUCGGACCCUUGAUGGCUCUUCUUCAAGUGGAACCAAGAAAGGUUUCGUCACUCCUUCUUCUGACCCAAAAGAGGCUGAAUGCUUCUAUUGCCAUGAAAAAGCUCAUUGGAAGCGGAACUGCCCAAAAUACCAGCAAGAUGUGAAGGAUGGGAAAGUUAAACCCAACCAUGCAGGUAUUUACACUAUCAUUUCUAAUAACUCACCCCAUUCUAAUUCUUGGGUCCUUGAUACCGGUUGUGGUAUUCAUAUUUGUUGUGACUUGCAGGGACUAAGAAGAAGUGAGGAUGUGGAGCAAGGAAGGAUAAACUUGAUCAUGGGGAAUAGGAAAGCUAUACCUGUUACCAAGAUUGGAGUUUAUACUUUAUCGCUAAGUAGUGGGUUUAGUUUAGAUUUGAAUAAGUGUUGUUAUUCGCCAGGAAUGGCAAGAAAUAUUAUUUCCUUUCAUGCUUUGUACAAACAAGGGUUUACCUUUUCAUUUAAUAAUGAAGUUGGUUCUAUAGAUGUUUUCUAUAAUAAUGUCUUUUAUUUUAAAGCAUUACCUUGUGAUGGUGUGUAUGAAGCUGUAUCUGUUGUAGAUAACUUGGGAAAUAAUGUUUUGUGUAUUGAUUCUACUAAUAAUAACUUGGAUAAAGCAUCUUUAUGGCAUUGUCGUCUUGGACAUAUAAGCAAGAAACGCAUAGGCCAACUCCAAAAGGAUGGAGUCUUGGAGUCGUUUGACCUAAAGUCAGAUGAUAGUUGCGAAUCAUGCUUACUUGGAAAAAUGACAAAGUCACCCUUCACAGGCUCGUGUGAGAGGGGUGAAGGUUUGUUGGACCUUGUACACACGGAUGGGUGUGGAGUAUCUUAGUUCAGAGUUCCUUGACUACCUAAGCGAAUGUGGGAUUGUCUCACAAUUGACACCUCGCAGGACACCACAGUUGAAUGGUGUGGCUGAGAGGUGUAAUUGAACCUUGUUGGAUAUGGUUCGUUCCAUGAUGAGUCGAGCUACGCUACCAAUCUCAUUCUGGGGGUAUGCCUUAGAGACUGCCGCCCAUAUUCUUAAUCUAGUCCCUACAAAGAAAGUUGCCAAAACUCCUCACGAGAUGUGGACUGGUAAAGUACCUAAACUAGACCACAUCAAGAUUUGGGGUUGCGAGGCUUUCGUGAGACGCGAGACUCAUGAUAAGCUCGAACCUCGAAGCGAGAGGUGUAUUUUCAUCGGUUACCCACAGCGAUCCUUUGGUUACCUCUUCUACAGACCUAGUGACAAUGUGGUCUUUGUAGCAAGAAGAGGAGUCUUUCGAGAAAGAGAGUUUAUAAGCCAAGGAGACAGUGGGAGGCAAAUUGAUCUUGAAGAAAUUCAAGAAUCAAGCGGUGAAGGAACUUCAAACUCUAGCCCUCAACUUGAGGAGGAAACUCCUGUUGAGCCAAUUGACAAAUCUGUACCUCUGAGACGUUCCACGAGAGUUAGGAGUGCACCUGAGCAUUACUAUGGAUUCCAUAUUACUGCAGAAGGUGAGACACUUAUUAGUGAUGAGACACUAGUAAGUCAAGAUGACCCUAACAGCUACGAGGAAGCCAUGGCAGGCCCCGAGUCUGCUAAAUGGAAAGAGGCUAUGGAUAGCGAGAUACAAUCCAUGUAUGACAAUCAAGUUUGGAACUUGGUUGAAAAUGUACCAGGUCGUAAGACAGUAGGGUGCAAAUGGGUCUUCAAGAAGAAGACCGACAUGGAUGGUAAAGUACACACUUAUAAGGCUAGACUGGUUGCAAAGGGCUUCUCUCAAAUUCCUGGAGUGGAUUAUGAUGAGACCUUUUCUCCGGUAGCCAAGAUUAAGUCUAUUCGGGUUCUGUUAGCCAUAGCUGCAUUUCAUGACUAUGAAAUAUGGCAGAUGGAUGUCAAAACCGCUUUCCUUAAUGGAAAGUUGGCUGAAGAUGUUUACAUGAGUCAGCCAGAGGGUUUUGUCAGCAACGAGUACCCUAAUAGAGUGUGUAAGCUUGAGAAAUCCAUUUAUGGAUUGAAGCAAGCACCUCGCAGAUGGAAUCUUUGCUUUGAUGAAAAGGUCAAGGAAUUUGGCUUUUCUAGGAGUGAAGAUGAAUCUUGUGUGUAUGUCAAGGCUAGUGGGAGUAUAGUUAGCUUUUUGGUAUUGUAUGUGGAUGACAUACUACUCAUAGGAAACGACAUUCCAACCCUGCAGGAAGUAAAGUCCUGGCUUGGGAAGUGUUUCGCUAUGAAGGACCUUGGUGAAGCUGCCUAUAUUCUAGGGAUAAGAAUCUUGAGAGAUCGGAGUAAAAGACUAAUUGGACUUAGUCAGAGUACCUACUUGGAUAAGGUGCUGAAGAGAUUCAGCAUGCAGGAUUCCAAGAAAGGAGAGUUACCCAUCCAGAGUAACACCAGAUUGAGUAAGACACAAAGCCCUAGCACUGAGGCUGAGAUAGCAGAAAUGAGUCGAACACCUUACGCUUCGGCUGUAGGAUCGAUCAUGUAUGCUAUGACGUGUACUCGACCCGAUGUAGCUUUUGCCUUGAGCAUGGUUAGCAGGUAUCAGGCGAACCCUGGCAAGGCACACUGGACUGCGGUAAAGAAUAUCCUCAAGUACCUACGGAGGACUAAGGACUGGGUCCUUACCCUCGGUGGGAGUGAUGACUUGAGAGUUGUAGGGUAUAGUGAUGCUAGCUUCCAGACUGAUAGGGAUAAUUUCCGCUCUCAGUCGGGCUGGGUCUUUACCCUAAACGGAGGAGCAAUUUCUUGGAAGAGUUCCAAGCAAGAGACAGUGGCAGAUUCUACUUGUGAAUCAGAGUAUAUUGCAGCUAGUGAAGCAGCAAAGGAGGCGAUAUGGCUGAAGAACUUCAUUGGAGACCUUGGAGUUGUACCAGCUAUUAAAGAGCCAAUGGAAAUUUUCUGUGAUAGUGAAAGUGCUGUUGCCUUAGCCAAGGAACCAAGGGAUCAUGGGAGAUCCAGACACAUCGACAGAAAAUACCAUUUCAUUAGACAUCGGAUCGAAGAAGGACUCCUCGUGGCAAAGAGGGUAUCAUCGGAUGAGAACCCAGCAGAUCCCCUCACGAAGGGACUGAGUAGGGUUAAGCAUCUCCAGCAUGCUCGGAGCAUAGGGCUGAAGGAUGAUAUAAGUUUUAGUAGUUAGAUAACCCAGAAAUUUGUAAAGUGUAAUUGACAUUAGAUGAUGAAUAAAAGGUGUUUUAUUUAUGAGUAAAGUGUUGCUAUCUCUUGUCGAUCGUUUACUAUAUUUCUUUUGCAUGUUUUGACUUCCAGAAUAAUUUUGUUUGGUAUAACAUAUUAUUCAAACCUCCACAGUCGGUCAUAUGUCGGAAGUAGGUAUGAAUCAAGACUGUCAUGAUGGGUUGUAGAGGUCUAAGGUGUUGGACAAGGCUACAACAAUCAUGAGUGCUCAUAAGUUCUGAGCAUUGGACUCAACCCACGCUCACUGGAAUCACUUCAUGGAAUUCUAUCUCGAGUGAUCGUGAGACGGUAAUAUCAUAUAAGUCUUCAAACCUAGAGAUAUGAUUUGUUACUUACAAGUUGGUUAUGCAUUGACUGUACGAAACCGCAUUGGUAACUCGAUGUUAUAAAACGUACUUUUGUGUGUAAUUCAAUGAGUGGUAGAACAAACAUAUGAGUCGAAGUUUAUCUGUUCCUUCUUGGAUUAGAAGCUGAUAUCUGGGCCCCUCGAUGAUUUUGUUUUGACCUAUGUACCGGGCCCGGUCAGAACUAAGUUGAUGUGUUCAAUUAAGUUCUUUGUCAAACAAAUCGGAAAUCGAGAAACAAACUGCUGGACAAUAAGUAAGACAUUGUUCCAUGUAUUUGUCCGGCUGAUAUCUAGAACAGAGGAUUAUAUGAUCACUUAUCUUAAAUGGCGUAUCAUCAUCUUCUCAGUUCCGAGAGACCUUGAAAGAGCUACGAUUGCCGGUCGGUUCCUGAAGUACUAGAGAUAUAGUUAUUAGACUUAUCCAAGUGGGAGACUGUUGGAUAAGGUGUCUAAGUCCAUAACUAUUUCGGGCUUGUACUUGACCCGACCCGGCAUGGUCCAUUUGGGUUGCAUGGCACCAUGCAAUUGGAUAGACUAAAUGAGAGAAAUAACACUUGGAGAUUAUUAAUAUAUUAUAAGUUCUAAUAUAUUAAUAAUAUUAUUUGAUUAGUUUGAUCAAGAAUUAAUUAAGAAUUAAUUAAGUGAUCAAAAGAUAACUAAUUAAAUAUAUGGGUUGAUUAUGUAAAUCAUUCAUAUCUUGUAUAGUGGGCUAAGAGGCUCCAUGGAUUAUCAAGUUGGGUUCCACCCAUAGGAUGCUCCAUGGGAGUUACAAACCCAUGGGUCAUGGAAAUGAAGAGUCAUGACACAUUAGGGUUUACAUGGUGUAACCCUAGAUGUGUCAACACUAUAUAAGAAUCCCAUUCUCCACCAAAAUCUGCUACACAUAUGAAACAAGAGGGCUAGGCCGAUUUCAAGAAGUGUGUAUUCUCUCAAAAGUCUUCCCAAGAGCAUUUGGUGUUGUGUGAAGCAUUUGAGGCAUCACACUUGGGGUGCUAGGCUCACAAGGUUUCAAGGAACAUAAGCAACAACAAGGUAAGUUAUUCUAUCUUUCAUUCAAGUUGAACAUUGUUCCCCAUGUAUGCUAGAUAGGAAUAUAACCUUGGAAUUCAACUUUUCAUGAUAAUUAGACAAACAUAGAUCCAAGGUUAUUAGGGUUACAUGUACACUUAGGAAGUGUUAGAAUGCUCAAAACCCAUCAGUAUGGGCCCGUACUCGAUACAGGGAGUAUUUUGAAGGUUCUAAGUAGCAGAUUGAGGAGUGAUGUUAUGGUUCGUGUACCAUACAGCGGAGCAGAUUGAGGAGUGAUGUUAUGGUUCAAGUACCAUACAUCGGAGCAGAUGAAGGGGUGAUAUUAUGGUUCGAGUACCAUGCAUCGGAGCAUAUUGAGGAGUGAUGUUAUGGUUCGUGUACCAUGCAUCGGAGCAGAUUGAGGAGUGAUGUUAUGGUUCAAGUACCAUGCAUCAGAGUAGAUUGAGGAGUGAUGUUAUGGUUCGUGUACCAUGCAUCGGAGCAGAUUGAGGAGUGAUGUUAUGGUUCGUGUACCAUACGUCAUAGCAGAUCGAGGAGUGAUGUUAUGGUUCGAGUACCAUACAUCAGAGCAUAUUGAGGAGUGAUGUUAUGGUUCGAGUACUAUGCAUCGGAGCAGAUUGAGGAGUGAUGUUAUGGUUCGAGUACCAUAUAUUGUAGCAGAUUGAGAAGAGAUGUCAUGGGCUGAGUACCAUGGUUCUUAGCAAAUGAUGCUUGUGAUUUUCCGGUUGUUCGGUCAGGAUUGAUUGUUGGAAUUUGGACACGAUGGGGUUUUAGGCCUGAGGACCAUGAUUGAGUCUGAAGAGGCAUUCCUUGAGAGGGAGGUCGAGAGUAUUUUAAAGUAUUUUGGUAAGAUGUCAGAUGUAGUCGCAAGACUCAGGCAUUAACAGAGAAGGCAUUCAUGGGGGAUUGCGGUUUGAGUGAGAAAUCAUCCAAUGGAGGAGAUGUCACCUUCUGUGACCUGAUGGGUGCCAAUUAUGUUUCCUGUGGGAAGUAGGAGAGGCAUGAGAUUUCAGUUUUGGGUUUAGGAGUAAACCUUAUGGGUUGACAUUAACGACAAUUUUUUUUCCACCAGAGUAUCAGUCAGCAUGUCUGCCACGAGGAAAUGAACUAGCAUGAACAGGUAGUCAGUGGGGACUGAGAUGGUCAAGGACCACAUUACACCUUAAAUGAGUAUAGUAGGGUGCGUGGUAGCGGUAUCAACGUUUAACCUAGUCAAGUAUAUCAGAGUGGUGGCUCUUCUGUCUAUGAUGAGUAUUGAGUAUGGUAGUGGAGUCCCUAUUAUUGUGAUGAUUCAUUUGUUGGAACGGAGGUUGCGAAGUCGAGGAUGGGGAGUAUGAUGAUUUAUUGUUUCAGUCUAUGAGUCAGUGAUAGUACUGGACAGUUGAGAUGUUCAAUAUUGGGAUGGUAUGAGACUUCGUAUGGCUAAAGGUAGUCAUAAUGAGGAGUUCCUAAGGAUUUCAUCGGAGAUUUACGGUAAUUGAGGUUUCUUGAUCUCUACAUGGGGAGAUCAUUGGGCGUUGUGUGGCACCUUCCAAGCGUAGGUGCGAUGUUUCUGGUGUAAACCGUCUGUGGGGUAGAUUGUUAAUGUGUCAAUUAGUGAUGGUCCGAACCCUAAGUGGGGGAGAACUGGGUGUUUUAUUGAGGGAACCAGAGAUUUGUGCAAGAGCGGUUAGGGUUGGAUACAGAGACCUGCGGCUCGAAUCCAUGAGACCAGGGUCAUUGGUGAUCAAGGAAAGGUGCAGAGUGAGAUAAUUCAUGUGGUAUAUGUCUGAGAAAGGGAUGGGUGUCUCCACAGCAGGCGGCCAAUGGUCAGGAAUCUGGUGGUGGUCAGGGUCAUUUCAAGUGGAAGGCUCGUGAUGAUGGUAUGGGCAGUUGAAAACCUAUGGGUCGAAGUAUGGAUUGUUUAUGCCCAUUUUUGGGUUGGAUAGAAGAUUAUCAAGCAGCCAACUCCCGUGUCGAUAUGCGUAUUCUUGCUUGGAUUUGAUCAGUAGAGAAAAGGGUUUCGGAGGAUCAUCAGCAUGUUCUAAAGCGAUAGCGCUUUCUUUGUAUUCCAAUUAAGUGUUUGGAUACACCGAAGUUGCGCAUUGGGUAAAAUGAAGAAUUAAUUAUGGGGUUCAGAGGAAAUAUAAUGUCAUAUUUGUAUGGUGCUGGGAGUAAGAGAUCAGUGGUUGAGGCAGGACAUUGUGAUGUUCUGUAAAGGUGUUUCGUGGUACCCGGGUAUAACGUCCCGAUUUCGGAGUUAUUUAGAAUCUUGAAUUUGAGACGACUAGUGGUGUAUCAUGUAUCUACAGUUCCAGUGGGAGCCCUUCGGUUAUUGAAAUCAAGAUGGAUUAUUUAAGGAAGUGGAUCUCCACAGAGGUAGGUACUACGUUAUAGCGGUUGCCGCUAGAGUCUGUGAUGCAUAUUUGGGACAAGUGUGUGUAACUAUCUAUGAUAGUCUACAGUGCAUGAGUUAGUGGACGUAGUGUGGCGUUGUAAUGAUAAUGAGAGUAUGGGGUGAAGCUACGGGGAGUCGUAGUAUUCACCAGUCAGAGGGUGUUGUGAUGCUACGGGGAGCCAUAUUACUCACAAGUCAGAGAGAGGGAGUCGUGGUACUACGGGGAGCCGUAGUACUCACUAGUCAGUUGGUGUUGUGGUACUACGAGGAGCCGUAAUACUCACUAGUCAGAGGCUGUCAUGAUGUUGCGAGGAGCCAUAGUACUCACUAGACGACAAGAAAGUGUGAUGAUGGAGUGUUUUUCGAUCAGUGUAUGAUGCAAAAGAGUUUUAGGCUUGAGUAGCCCUAGUAUUGAGUUUUUUAGCCUGGUAGUUGAACCAGGGGCGAGACUGGGGUCUCCAUCUCUGUCGAGAAUCAUUAUAUUUUGUUUUUAGUUGUGGUUGUCUCAACAGGAGGGAAUUGGGAUAGUGGGCAUGAGGAAGAAGUUAGUGAGAUAUUUUGGAUCAUGUUAUGGGUGACCUUUGGAGGUUCAGUUGUGGAGUCAAAGACUGACCUGGUGCUCAGUAUCGAAGAGGGAUAUGAAAAAUAAGCUAGAGCUUAUCAUGGUGAUGUCCGAGGACACUUCAGAGCGAGCGAACGAUUCAGACGCUCGAGGACAUGCUUCGGGCAUGUGUAUUAUAUUUUGAAGGGAGUUGGCACACGUACUUACCCUUGGCUGAGUUUUCCUAUAGCAACAGCCGUCAUUCGAGCAUUGGUAUGCCACCCUUUGAGAUGUUGUAUGGGAGGAGGUGUUAGACUCCCAUUUGUUGGGGAGAGGUAGGGCAACGUGUGAUGGGUAGUACAAAGAUUGUGCUUCAAACGACCGAGCAGAUUUAGCAGAUCAGACAGAAGAGUUAUGCCGAUAGUCGACGAUCAGAGCUCGAGUUCCAGGUCGGUGACUUCGUACUCCUCAGGGUAUCCCCUUGGGAAGGAGUGAUCCGGUUCAGGAAGAGGGGGCAAGCUGGGACCCCGAUAUAUUGGCCCGUUCUGAGUGAUUGCGAGGGUAGGCAGGGUAGCCUACCGGUUGAAGUUACCUGCAGAGUAAGUGUAUAGUCGACGAGUCGGCAGUGGUACCAUUAGAGGAUAUUCCGGUGGUGGCUAGGGAUCAGAAGAUCAAGGUUCUGAGGAACAAGGACGUGCCCCUGGUGCAGGUCCAGUGGCAGCAUCGGAUAGGGUCAGAGUUGACUUGGGAGCCUGAGCGAGAGAUGCGUGAACAACAUCCAGAGUUGUUUGCAGAGUAAGACUUCAAGGACGAAGUCUGAUUCUAGUGGGGGAGAAUUCUAACAUCCGGGUUCCCAGGUAUAUUAUUUUAUUCAUUUAUUUGGGGUUUGUGGAGGGACUCGGUGAGUUGGUGCUUAGACUCGCCGAGUAGGGUCGCGAAUUCUUAUCCGGGUUGGUGAUCGGACUCGGCGAGUUCAUGGGUGGACUCGGCGAGUCCAUGCUAUUUAAUGAAAACCUAAUUUCGUGGGUUUGGGACCUAUUUAAAAGCCCUUAUGGCUGUCAAUUGCGGCUACCAAAUCCCAUAGAGAAACCCUAAGAGAGCUGGAGCAUUUGUGAGGGAGAAAAGGCCAUUUUCGAUCCUUGUGUUAGUGUUAUUACAAGAAGAAGGUGACCAGGGCAAGAGGGGGCCGAAGAGGGUGCUAUUCUGUGAAGUUCAUAGCCAGAGACAUCAUUCAUGAGGUAUUGAUUCGACCCUUCUUUAGUUUUGGUGAUUAUUUUUGGAGUUAGGGUUUUCUAGACCCUUUAGAGACUAGAUUUGGUGGACAUUUGGCUCCUUCUUGUGUCAAGGCUUUGGAUCUGGAUCCAAAGAGGUCCAGAGACCUUAACCCUCUGAGCUUUAUGUGUAUUAAUGGAAGGAAUGAGACUAGGAUGUCAUAUUAGGGGUCAUUUCUUCGAAUAGAGUUCUUGAGCCCUUGCAUGAGCACCAAGAUCUGAACUUUACGUGAUUAACAUGCCUGGGAAGGCCAUAUUUAUAGAUUGGAGGAACGGAUAUGACCUCAGGAGGUCAUUUCAGUUUGAGCAGGGCAUGAACUCGUCGAGUCCAAGGGAAGACUCGACGAGUAGGGCUAGGGUUUUCCCGAUAAUCACACAGUUGGUGACUCGCUGAGUUGAGGAACGACUCAGUGAGUCUGAAGGGAACUAGAGGACUUGGUCCACGACUAGAAUCGUCGACUCAAGAGUCAGACUCGACGAGUUGGGACGAGUUGUCCCAUGAUUCGUGAUCAGUGUUGAUUUGAUGAGUGGAGGGUUGACUCAGUGAGUCAAGUGAGGACCAGGAGUGUGAAGGACACGCAUGGACUCGCCGAGUCACAUUGGUGCACUCAACGAGUCUGGUCAAGGUUGACAAUUGACUUCUUUGACUUUGGGGGUUGAGUCAAUGAUUGGACAUUAGAGUCAAGGGAGUGGUAAAAUGGUCUUUUACCCUUCUGUGUGUGCCAAGAGAGGGUUGAGUCCAGUCUCGAGAGUUAUAUUUAUGAAAGUAUUUACUUUAUGUGAUUAGGCGGAGGCUAGAUCGUAUUUCUACCGAGAUAGAGAUUUACCGAGGCAUCUAAGGUGAGUCUUCUCACUAUACUUUACCUAGAGUGGUAACAGAGUUAUGUGACAGAGUAUUUAGAGUUAUGUGAUAGAGUAUCUUGUAUGCUAUCUAUGUUAUGUGUUGCACUGCGUUAUUUCUAUGUGAUUUAUGUUGUGCAUGUUCCAGAGUUAGGACCGGAAGGUCAACAGAGUUAUGGGAUGGAAAUCCCCUAAGACACUUGGAUCGGAAGAUCCUACAGAGUUAUGGCCUGGAAAGGCGUAUGUGUUAGAGUGGUAUUUUGGGGAACUCACUAAGCUUCAUGCUUAUAGUGUUAUGUGUUAUGUGUUUCAGGUUUUCUCAGGAUCACGGGACAGCACCGGCUCGAUUGUACACACCAGAGAAAGUGUUUGUUUUGAGGAUCCUGGUUUAUUAAAUUGAUUGAACAAAAGACUCAUGUAUUGUAAUUUAAAUAAAAAGGAGAUUUUUAUGAAAAGUGUUAAAGAGAUAAACAAUUUUAAAUAAAAACUUUUGUUUUGAAAAUUUCGGUGUACACCUAAGGACCACUUCCAGGGAAACUAGUCCCUACCAUACAUAUAACAUACUAUCCAGGUAAACUUCAUAACCAACACAUAACCAGACCAAGAUAAUUAUCACAAAGACCAUUAUCUUUUAAAUACCCCUUUUUGGUGGGCCAGCGUUGUGGCCUUAGACCCACCCGUACUGGAAGGUAACUCACCACGAUAUCGGGCAGUGUCUGAACUAUUCUUGGCGCAUAAGUCAACUCCCAACGACUCCUCGAUCCGUACACGACAACCUUCAAGUCAACAUACAUUACAUACAACCCUAAACAGGGUCAGCCCAACUUCAAUCAAAGUUGACAUUGGACAAAGUCAACUUUCAGUUGACCUGAGUCGCCAAGUUGGCCAACCAACUUGUCGACUCCAUGUUUCUCUAAUCCCACACAACACCCCGGCUCCACUCGUUGAGUCUAGCAAAAACUCGACGGGUUCUCCUUCAACCAUAACAUCGGGACCAUCUUCAUCCGACUCGUUGAGUUCCUUCUUGAACUCGUCGAGUUCAUCUCCAAUUUAAGUACUUGUCCAAUCUAUGACUCACCGAGUUGUAUGAUCAACUCGUCGAGUCCAUCUUCAAAGAAUGGGAGAUUGUUAUGGACUCGCCAAGUCUGCUCAUAUCACUCGCCGAGUCCCAUGACUUCCAGGUCCCUUUUUCGCGUCUAAACCCACAAGGGACUUCCUUCUUAACACUAACCCAUUCACAGAAAGUGUUUGGUGCACAUUGGUCUCCGACUCGUCGAGUGCCCAAAGCAACUCGACGAGUCUAGCCUUGACCAACUCCAUACGUUCAAUUUAAAUGAGAUCUAACACACCAAAACCAUAGAUCUGGCCUCCUAAUGUCCAUUUUAUACUUAAGGUUCCAAACUUGAUGCACAUGCAUGGGGUUUUUAGCUCAAAAAUCCAUAUAAAGUGUCCUACAAUGUGCAUGGGGCUCUCAUGGCCCUAGAGUUGGCACCUUUUUGCCAUGAGACCCUUCUUAAGGCCCAGAUCUGAAGGUUAGAGUCCACAUAACACCCUUUAAAUCCGAAAAAGGCUUGAAAGCCCUAAAUGCACCCAAGAUCUACAAUCUAAAGAUGAACAACCAAAUGGAAGACCAAAGCAGGGGCAUUUUACCUUGAUUAAGCUGAAGAUGGAAUGAGAUUCUUGGAUCCACAAACCCCAAGUUGAAUACUCAAGCUCCUCUUCUUCCUUCCAAGCUUCACAAGUGAACAAAAGCACCAAAAUGGCCUUAACACACACACAAACGGCUAGGGUUUCGAUAUGCAGCUCUAGGAGAGUGUUAGGGACAAGGGAGGCUGAGUUAAGGCGUUUAUAUAUGGUGUAAACCCUCAUAUUAGGGUUUUUGUCCAAACAGCACGGACUCGUCGAGUCCGGUCUCUGACUCGCCGAGUCAGCCACUUAACUCCCGUGUGCAAACCGCUUCUACUCGACGAGUUGGGCCAUCAACUUGCCGAGUCUCAGGCCAAAAUGCAAAAUACUAAAUUUUAAAAAUACGUACCAGGAACCAGGUGUUACAAGGUCACUACAACAUAGUAGCAUACUUGAUACCAGAACAUAGAUCCAACAGAUCCCUAUGGCAUCCCUCUACUAUUAUCAAAUAACCGAAACUAGUGGGCCAACAUUGGUGCCUUCGACCCACGUGUACGGUGAGGUGAAACUCACCUCGAUAUGCGUAUUGGUAACAACGAAUAAAUCUACCAUUUUCAACCCACUUCAAUCACCUACAAGAAGAUACUUGAGUCAAUACCCGAUCACAGGUCAUAGUCACUUGCAACAGUGAUCACCUCACAUGAAAUGACGAUUACGGUUUCAUAUAAAAUAACGAUUAGGGUUAAAUAAUAACACUUAACCCAUUAAAGACUUAAUCAACUAAGGGUAGGAUUGAUUAAGUUUUGACUUAGUCAUUCUCUGAUGAAAUAAUAAUCCAAUCAACAACCCAAAUACAUGCCCGAUCAUUGUCCAAAUAGAGUUCCCCGAUUCUAGGGUUUUCACAUAAAAUGAUAAAUAGGGUUAUUGUUCCUCACUAAAACCCUUAAGGACUUAAUCUAUUAAGUCCAAUAUUGCAUUAAGUUAAUUUUAGGGGCAUCAUUAAGUAUUAUUUAAAGUUUAAUUAACAGCUUUAACGUGGGUCCCGACCAACUCCGAAAACUAGGUUUCUUGACAUUAGGCUUUUCUAAACCCUAAUUAGGGUUUCCAACUCCACAAGUUAGAUGAUUAGCUAAUUAAAUAAAUAUAUAUUUUAAUAAAUCGGGCACCACCCACUGCCACCUCGGGCAGUGGUGGUCGGCGUCGGUCAAUGGCGGCAGGGGGUGACAACUGCCAUUUCAAGGGCGGGAGUUAUAAAUUUUAGGUCCAAAGACCAUCAAAGGCCUCUUGGUUAACACAUAACAUUAAUCCAACACCCACACACGCACAAAACCACCCAAAGUGGCGGCUGGUGGUGGUAGAACGGCGGCAAAAGGCGGCAGUCACCACCUCACGGUGGUGGUGGUGGGUUUCCUUUGGUGUUUCCAGAUUAACAAGGCAUAGACACACCCUACAACACCCAUAACACCUAAUAAUGCCACACAAUCGGCUGAAACUAACACACACACGUAUUACACACACAAACACUUAACAACGAUGGUGAGCGGCGACAGCUAGAUGGUUGUCGUUGGUUCCACGCACAGAAGAAGGUGAAGAAGUCACAGAAAAACACAUCCUUUCUGGUGAAACGAAUGCAACAGUAACACCCUGCCACUUCUUGCUUUGAUUCUCGUACUCGACUUCUCCAAUUUCUCGCCGGAAGUGACAACAACGACAAAAGCAAGGUGAUGGGUCCUCGGCUGGAUGAAGAAACAGAAGAGCGAAGAGGGUGGGAAGGGGUGUGGCUUUAUCGGCGAGAUACAACGACAACAAUAGCUCUGAACUAUGUCUUCUGACCUCCCUUACAAAUGUGACAAUAACAACUCAAUGUUUUACGAUCUCGAUGGUGCAGGGAGCGGCGGCUGGAGGAGAAGGAGUAUAAGGGUGGUGGCUGGAGCCAUUUAGGGUCAGGGUUUUUAGGUGUAAUGAUCUUAAAUGAGGAAACACAAGGGAGGGGUGAUGGGCUUUAGCCCCGCCUCCUCCAAUUCAAAAAUUUUCCAUUUUAACACUUUUAGUCCCUCCAUCCCCCUUGCUUUUCAAAUUAAGCCCAUUAAUUACCAAAUAGCCCCUGUUUCGCAAAUUCCUCCACAUUUCAAGUCCUAAUGUUACAAUAUAGACCGCAAAUUUUGGAAUUUAUAUCAUUUAACUCCUUAUCGCUAACAAUGAUAAAUUACUAAGGAUUUAGGGCUUAUUAUUUAUUUUUAUUUAUUUAUUUAUUUACUAUUAUUAUUAUCUUUAUUUAUUUUUUUACCUAUUUUAUUUUUAAAUAGAAUGUUACAAGACAGCCAGAGAUUAUUGACUUAGUGUGGCAGAGUUUGGGUUCUGGUAUUUAGGGAGUCAGGAAAAAGAUUUAGGAGAAGGAAGAUAAGUCCAAGUUUUCUAUCCAUCCGGGGGCCAUGAAGAUGUACCGAGACCUAAGAUCAAGCUACCGGUGGCCCUACAUGAAGCAGGAAGUUUUUUGGUUUUUUUAGCGGUGUUUGACCUGUAGGAAGGUCAAAGCUGAGCAUUAGAGGCAUCACAGCAAGGUUCAACCGUUACUCAUCCCUAUGUGGAAAUAGGAGGAGAUCACCAUGGACUUUAUCGCAAAGUUACCUUGGACGGCAUGGGGUGUUGAUUCCAUUUUAGUUAUUGUGGACAGGUUGACCAAGAAUGCUUAUUUUAUUCUAAUUUCCAAGAGUAUCUCUGUCGAGAAAUUAGCAGAUAUUUAUUUGCUGUAGGUGGUGGUCAGGCACGGAGUUCCAAUAUCUGUGGUCUCGGACCGUGAUGUUCGAUUCACCUCCAGGUUCUGGAGGAAGUUUCAUAAGGAGUUGGCUACUCAACUGCUUUCAUCGCAACUUACCACCUCCAGACUAAUGAUCAGAGCUAACAAACGAUUCAGACAUUUGACGAUAUGCUUCGGGAUUGUGUUUUAGACUUUGGAGGGAGUUGGGAUACUUACCUCCCACCACCAGAGUUCUCUUAUAACAACAAUUAUCAUGCUAGUAUUGAUCGACCCCCAUUCAAGAUGUUGUAUAUACGGAGGUGUAGGACUCUGGUUUGUUGGGGGAUGUUGGCCAUCGAUUCAUGGGAAGCACUGAAGUGGUGCUUAGGACCACUAAAUUGAGUUAGCAGGUGUGUGAUAAGCCGCAGGUUGCACAAAGCCAUUAGAAAAUCUAUGAUGACCGGCGUCGAUCGGAUCUCAAGUUUUAGGUGGGAGAUUUUGUUUUGCUGAAGGUGUCACCUUGGAAAGGUGUCAUCUAGUUUCAAAAGAAGGGCAAUUUGGGGCCCUGAAUCAUUGGUCCAUUUAGGAUUUAUGCCCGAUUUGGUAGGGUUGCUUAUCGGUUGGAUCUUCCAGAUGAGCUCAGUCAUAUCCAUAAUACCUCCCACGUGUAUCAGCUCCAUAAGUGUGCAGAAGAUGAUGUCGCAUUUAUUUAUUUGGAUGAUAGUCAUGUGGAUGGGAUCCUGAACUAAGUGGAGAAGCCCAUUGUAGUCUUGGAUAGAAAAACUAAAACUCUUCGUAACAAGGUGGUGAAGCUAGUGAAGGUGCAAUGGCAACAAUGGAAGGGCUCCAAAUGGACUUGGGAGUCGGAGGACGAUAUGUGAAAGCAUUACCCAGAUCUAUUUGUGUCAGUGGACUUUGAGGACGAAGUCUAGUUCAAGUGGGGAGAGUUGUGAUACUCAAAUCUAGGUAUUCCAUUUUAGACCUUGAAGUAUUCCUUUUUGGAAAAUGAGGACCUUCCAUACGUUGGUCGUAUAUAUGCGUAUGCUUGAGCAUGCAUCUCGGAGUUGAGGCUCGUAUGUGCGGUGUACGAGCAUGUAUGCAGGACGUACGAGGUCAAAGACGAAAAACCCUAAUUUCAUGACUUGCACCCUAUUUAAACAAACUUAUAUCAUUUGGACCAAACCCUAAUUAGCCUCCAUAGCCUCAUUUCGUCCUUAAACCCUAUUCUUGUAAGACAGUGUGAGAUUUGAGCUUAAAGGUGUGUUUGGUGGUCUUUCUAGAUGGUGUUCAAGAAGAAUAAGGUGGUGUUCAAGUCUAGAUUAAGGAAGGAGCCUUUGGAUCCUGCAUAUAGAGCAUCUUGGAGAGCUUUUGAAGGUAAAAAAUUUGCAUCUUGUCUAUCCUCCUUGCUUGUUGAGUUAUGGUUUGCUAGAGUCCACUUUUGAGUCCAUAAAUCAUCUCUUGGGAGUUUGGGCAACUCCAGAGGUUAGUAAGGUUAGAUAUGAGACUCUUGGACUUGUUUAUAGUAUAAAAAUACAAACUUGAUGUCUUCUAUGGCUUCAUCCAUGAGUUAAGACCUUUGGAAAGGUCUUAAUGAGGUAUAUUGAGUUGUUGGGAUCUUAUAUAGCAUGCAAAGGCAUAAAGUAUCCAACUUUAUUGAAUCGACCAAGAUCUGGAAUUUGAGUGAAGAGCCUGCAUGCAUUAAGCACUUAAUGGAUUUUGUGCAUGAACGGUUUGUACACUGGGCAUACUACGUUGUACAUUGUGCGUACAACCCUUUAGCCCAUAAUGAUAAGUGUACAGAAAAGGUACGCUGGGCGUACACUCUCAGGUAUCUUUGGGCCUUGGCGAACUUCGUACCUUUGGUCCCUAAUGGUUUUGGGCCUGGAUUUGCUUGUGUUUGGGCCUGAAUUAAUCCUUCGGCCAAUGUUGGUAUGUUUGGGUGUUGAAUCAAAAAGUGACCCUCUUGAACUUUUGCUACCGCAGUGCCCAAGCCACCGCAGUCAAGAAAUCUCUUCAUUGACUGUUAUCCAAUGUCUUCAGCACCGCAGUCUAUAUCUUUACUUAGUUUAUUUUUUCUUUUCUGUAAAACACUCUAAUGUACAGUAUGCCUUGCAUGGCUACUCUUAGAGUUGUAAACUGUUCUAUAAAUAGAGAUCAUUUCUAAUGUAUUCAGUACCAGUGUGAAUCUCUUAUCAAAUUCUAAUACACAUCUUCAAGUUCUCAUUCUAUCUUACUUAUCAAAGCUUCUUACUCUCAUCAUCUCUCUUCGGAGCAAGUCACUUGUCACUUAAUCACUAAGCUAGAUCUCACUAACUAACAUGGUUUGAAUGCAUUCCUUGUUAUGAAUCUACUUUUGUGUAUAGUUGAUAUACCAAUUGUUGUCAUUUACAUUUCUUUACUUUUCCGCAUCUAACUCACUAACUUCUAACUCUUAAUAUUAUUGUUGAGCUAACAGAUCCUUCGAGAUUAAUUAUUCCGCUAUAUACUUUUUCUAACAUUUCGUUCAAGUGUGUCUCAAAGUUUUUCUCUCAACAAUUGGUAUCAGAGCCAUAGUGGUUGCUUUUUUAAAAUCGGAACUAUGAUUUUUCGAAGAGCUUUCUAUACCACUAAAGCUCAUUUCUAAACAAAAAAACAACAAAAAAAUCUUCAAAUGGCACAAUCAUUAUCACUGAAUGUCUCCAACAGUGUUGGUGGUUCUAAUCGAGCCCCAAUACUGGUUGCAAAUGAGUAUCAUCAAUGGUCUCAAAUGAUGGAAAGAUAUCUCAAACGACUUUGUAGAGAUGUCUGGAGAUCCAUAGAAGAAGGACCCUAUGUCCCAGUCCUUACACCAGUCCAAACUGAUGGAGCCACAACAACGCUAGGAGGAGGUCAACCAGCUUUGAACCGUCCCACCAAAGAUGAUCUAGACAAGAUGGAAAAUGAUGAUAUUGCCUUUUAUGAAAUCUCUUGUGGAGUUGCUCCUAACAACUUCGACAUCAUCAUAAACUGCAAAUCAGCAAAGGAGAUUUGGGAUGUUCUCAAGAACUUGUACGAAGGUUCAGAGCAGGCUCAAGACAUGAAGCUCACUACAACACUCAAUGAAUUCAACAACUUCAAAGCCCACACCGGUGAAAGUUUGGAAGACUCUUUUAAGAGAUUCAAUUUGAUUGUCACAAAACUGUCCAAUGCGGGCACCAUCCGCAGCAAUCAUGAAACAAAUCUACAGUUCCUUAAUGGCUUGGGAAGACACUGGACAACAGCCAAAAUGAUUGUACAAGGUGACAGGAAGAUUCACUCGUUAUCCCUCUAUAAGCUCUAUGGAGAGUUGCAAGCUCAAGAGUCCACCGUACUCAAGGACUGCUCAGACCACUUGCACUAGUAGCACAAUCACCUCACACUCAAACCUAUCCCACUUCGUAUGACUCACCACCGCAGUCAUAUGAAGCCGAAUCAGAAUAUGACGAUGAAGAAGAGUUUCAAAAUGCCAUCGCUCUUAUCAGUCAAAAAUUCAAUCGCUUACCACCCUCAUUUCGCAAAAACCAACAAUAUAAUUCACCACCUUUCAACCACAACUUUCAAAACAAUCACUUUUGUUCAACCAAGAAUCCUCUCCCUUCACUGCAGCCUCAAAAAACACAGUCUAAAGACGUACCACCGCAGUCCCAAUCAACUGACUCUGGUACCUCUUUAGAAGACAAGAGUGACAUUGUUAUAUGUCACAAGUGCAACAAAGAAAACCAUUUUGCCAAGGAUUUCAAGGCAAACAUACUGAAAGAUAGAGCCUUCUAUCUCAUAAUGGCUCAAGAACUGGAAGACAAAGAAAAGGGAAAAGCCAAAGUUGCUCAAGUGAAAAGGAAUCAUCAAGUGUGGUCAUCAGGAGAUGAAGAUGAAGAUGAUCUCAAUAAAGGAAAAAAGGCAAGAUCUGUAUGGUAGCAACUGCUGAUGAAGACGGCUCAACCAAUCUAAAAAAGAACCAUUGCUAUAUGGCAAAAGAUGUAAAUCUCAGCAUUGUGGAACAGGUAAAACUUAUGAUUCAAACUUUAAAAUACAACUUGCAUGAUUGUCAACCUUUCAUAGACACACUCAAUGACACAUGUGUUGCCGUCCUUACAGACUACAAUAAAGCCUUAGAUGAGAAGAACAUCGCUUCGCAGGAGAUGUUCCACGUUAGAGGACGUUUGGACAAUAAGAGACUCAAAAUGGCAAUGUUAGAGAAAGACUUGAUAUUAGAAAAAGAUGCUAGGAUGUUAAGUGAAACACAACUAGAAAUAGCCUUGAAUCAGAGAGAUUUAGCACAGAGUGAAAUUGUAUGCUUAAAUCUUUUAAUUGAAAAGCUUUUUAAUGAAACUGAGGCCAUUGAGAAUCUUGUUAAUAAUGGGAAUGUUGAUAACACUUUUAAUUGGGGUUGGUCCAAUGGUUACCCAACUAUAACAGACUCCUCACCUCGGUUCACACCGGAACAUCCCUAUGUCCCUCCAGACUGCAACUUCUUGUUCCCAGUCAAUGAAAAAACAUUUCUUGAGGAUAUCCAAGCUCAUUUUGGUAAACUCCAUGAUCUGAGUAAUAACUGUGUUAUAGAGGAAAUUCUCCCUGAAUUUUCUACUCAUGUUGAUAACAUAGUUCAUUCAGAUUCUCAGACAUCAUCUGUAGUCGAUGAGGAAAUUGUUAUUAAAAGUCCUGAAGUCUCAUUAGACUUCCCAUCUCUGCAGUUUUACCACAGUGUUUCUAACCGCAGUCAUGAACUGCAAUCCGUCCCAUUACCCAGUAUCAAAUGUCCCACUGAAGUGUCCAACAAGAAUUACUCUGCGGUAGUCCAAAGCACUACACCGCAGACGAUAGUCAAAAGUUUUAUGACUAUUGAACCAAUUAAUAAUGACUUACCAACUGAAAAUUUUGAAUUUGGUCAAUGUUCUCAAAGUCCUGACUUCUCUAGUUCAGAUGAAUUAAGUCUUUGUUUUUCAAAAUCUUCAAAAGAUUUAAGGAAACCGCAAUUAAAUGUCACUGACUGCGGCUCUCCUAACACCGAAGCAAAAAGAGCUUUUAAAGAAGAAUUUCAUUCCCGUGGGAAGCAACGGGAAAUUCAUUCAAAACAAAAGAAAUCUGUGAAAUGUCCAAAGUCAAAGAAUUCAGAAAAACUUGUUUUCACAAAUUAUCAUUUCAAGAAAAUUGUUUCCAAGAAAACAAAAAGGAAGGAGUUCACUAUUCCUGACACUACUCAAAAAACAUCCAACUCUAAGGAUAAGUCUUUUCGAUCAAAUGGUUUUCGGGUCUAUUCAUUAGAUAAUCCAAAAUGGAAAGGUAUUCUACCUACUCCAACCCUUCCAAUGUCACUUUCAAAAACUCAAAAAUGGAAAGGAAUUUUGCCGACUCCGACACUCAAAAGGUCACCUCAAGAGUUUAAGAAAUCACAUCACAAAAUGCCUGCACGUGUCUACACACCUGCAAGACCUGCACAAAACACAUUUUCAAAACACACAAACAAAAAGGUCAAAACUCAUAAUCCUCGGACCAGACAAAAGCAUACUUUAUCUUCAAAACCUCAGACUAAGUCAAAUGUCAGGAGAAAUGACAAAAAGUUUACGUGUCAAUGUCAAUGUCAAAAGAUCUUCUCCCAUGACAAAUCUCUUCGUUCUCAAAAAACUCGUAACUAUCCACAAUUUCAUAAAACUCCAAAAAAUCUCAAACACCCAAGACUAGGCUUGAAAGUUGACUUAAAACCAGUCCCUGCCACCUCGCAUCAUGCAUCAAUUAAUACAUCGUAUGUGACUCCGGGCUCCAAACUCGCUUCGGUGCCCAAAUUAACCACUUAAUUUCUAUAGGCUUUGUGCAAGGAGGAUCAAGAAGAAGAAUGGUUGAUCGACAGUGCCUGCUCCUUGCACAUGACCGGAAGGUUAGAAUACCUUCGGGAUUUCAGGCCUAUAUGCAAUGCUGGAAAUGUUACAUUCAGCAACAAUGCGAAUGGCAUUAUCCGAGGUUAUGGUGUACUCACUACGGGGAACUUCUCAAUACAGAAGGUUGCCUAUGUAGAAAGUCUUAAACACAAUCUCAUUAGUGUUGGCCAACUAUGUAAGACAGGCCAUCGAGUGGAGUUUGAUGAUCAAUUAUGUUACAUCAUGACGAAUGAUAGAAGCACUUGCUUAAUCAAGUCACGAUCCGAAGGCACCAUGUAUCCUCUGGAUGUCUCUCUCAUCAUUGGUAAACCGCAGCUGUGCUUUCUCUCAAAAGUUGUAUCCGAAGUAGCUGGUUAUGGCACCGCAAGCUCGCUCAUCUCAACUUCAAAUACAUCAACUCCUUAGUCACUGAAGACCUGGUUAGAGGUCUACCCAUUCUGAAGUUCAACAAUGACACUCUAUGUCCUGCUUGUGAAUGUGGUAAGCAGUCAAAAGCAAGUCACCCUAUGGUGAUUGACUCCUCCAUAUCCGAACCACUUGAACUUCUCCAUAUUGAUCUUUGCGUCCAUCAACCGUUGCCAGUCUCCAUCAUAAAAAAUAUAUACUGGUUAUAGUUGAUGACUUUACUCUCUUCACGUGGGUAUUCUUUCUCAGAAUCAAAUCCGAAACACCGUAGAUUCUAAUAAAUUUCAUCAAAGAAAUAGAACUCCAGAUCAAGCUUCCUAUAAGACGCAUCCGCGGUGAUAAUGGCACUGAAUUCACUAAUCAUCCUCUCAACAACUUCUUGGUGUCAAAAGGUAUUUCUCAUAACUUUUCAGCUCCGUAUACACCUCAAAAAAAUGGUGUAGUAGAACGAAGGAACCGCACCCUUGUUGAAGCAGCCAUAUCCAUGCUCAAAUUCGCACAUCUUCCUCUUUACUUCUAGGCUGAAGUUGUAGCAAAUGCAUGCUUUGUUCAGAAUCGAAGCAUUAUGUGCAAACGCCUCAAAAAGACACCAUAUGAGGGUUUCAACAACCGAAAUCCAAAUGUUCGUUUCUUUCACAUCUUUGGGUGUAGAUGUUUUGUGAUCAACAACAGAGAUCAGCUUAACAAAUUUGCACCGUACUCUGAUGAAGGCAUCUUUCUCGGUUAAUCCACAAAUAAGGUUGCAUAUCGGGUUCUCAUCAGACGUACAAGGCUAAUCAUUGAAAGUUUUGAUGUGAAGUUCGAUGACUCUUACAUCCGCAACACCCCUCCAUCUACUGAAACCACUGCCAUCAUGGAAAGCGACAUUCAUGCUUCUUCAGGUCCUCUAAACCUGGUUGAAGUAAAUUAUGAUGAUCUUUUCGACCCUGUUGAAACGGAAAAACUAUCCGAAGUUCUUGUAUCACCAACUGCUCAACAACAACACGCUGAUGUUUCUGGUCCAUCUCUAUCCGAAGUAGCAUCUCUUAAUACUUUCACUUCUCCAGUUGAGGGGGAAAGCUCUACUCCGGUUUAUACUACAACCAUCGAGGUUCCAGUACUUGAUGAUGCUCAAGCUCCCAUUCUCAGAAAAUAACUUCCAUCAAAUGUAUCUUCGGAUUCGGAUGAUGAAAUCAUAGAGAAUAUUGACACUCAAACUGACUCAAGGAUCAUUUCACUCCUCAAGCAGUCCAGGGGGAACCUUCUCGGGUUCCAGAAGAACUCCCUUCAGCAGUCUAGUGGGAACCUCUCCAAACUACUCAAGAAAAUGUCAUUCUCGCUCCAACAAUUCAAGAUGAUUCUGCAGGUUGCUCACAAAUCCAAGGGGAGCUUCCUUCCCCAUCCGAAGCAACCUCUGAUAUUGAAAACAUUCCUUCUACUGCAGCUGCUGAUCAUCUGUUUCCUCGUCUACAUGUAUGGACGAAGGAUCACCCACCAGGUCAAAUUAUUGGCAACCCAUCUGCAGGUAUCCAAACUCGAUCUGCCAAAGAUUUAUCUGAUCAUUGACACUAUGCAGCAUUUAUGUCCUCAGUCGAGCCUCGAUCUAUCAAUGAAGCAUUAUUGGAACCAGAUUGGAUUUCUGCAAUGCAAGAAGAACUGGAAGAAUUUGAAAGAAACAAAGUGUGGCAACUUGUUCCUAUUCUACAAGGCCAUAAUAUUGUUGGUACAAGAUGGGUGUUCAAGAACAAGCUAGAUGAAUCUGGUGCGGUUAUCAGAAAUAAGGCAAGACUAGUUGCUAAAGGAUAUAGUCAACUGGAAGGGGUUGACUAUGAUGAAACAUAUGCUCCGGUGGCUAGAAUGGAACCAAUCUGAAUCUUCUUAGCAUAUGCUUCCCACAAAAACAUCAAAGUACACCAAAUGGACGUUAAGAGCGCUUUUCUCAAUGGGGAAUUGAAAGAAGAGGUUUAUCUUCAACAACCUCCCAGCUUUGAAAGUAUCGAGUUCCCAAAUCACUGCUACAAGCUUCAAAAGGCAGUCUACAGUCUGAAGCAAGCCCUUAGAGCUUGGUAUGAGACUCUUUCUAAUUCCUAGUCUCUUCAGGCUACAAAAGAGGAGUGAUUGAUCCCAUACUGUUUAGAAAAGCAAACGGUUCUCACCUUAUUCUUGUACAAAUAUAUGUGGAUGAUAUCAUCUUUGGAUCGUCGGAUCAAGGAAUGGUGGAUGAAUUUGAUAAGCUCAUGACAAAAAAAUUUCAAAUGAGCAUGAAUAGAGAGAUUAACUUCUUUCUAGGUCUUCAAGUCAAACAAAUUCAGCAAGGGAUAUUCAUUCAUCAAAAGAAAUACACCACUGAACUUCUGAAAAAAUACUCUAUGGACAACUGUUCAUCGGCUAAGGUUCCUAUGGCCUUCGGAUAUAAGAUCUCUGCUAAUCCUUCUGGCGAAUCUGUGGAUCACAAGACUUAUAGAGGUAUCAUUGGCUCUUUAAUGUAUCUCACCGCAAGCCGACCGGAUAUUGUCUUUGCAACUGGUGUGUGGAAGGUAUCAGGCUGACCCAAAAGUGUCACACGUGACCGCAGCCAAAAAAAUUCUUCUUUGCCUAAAAGGAAGAAAAUCUGUUGGUCUAUGAUACCCCGCAGGCAACGAUUUCAGUCUUCAAGUGUUUACUGAUGCGGAUCAUGCCGGAUGCAAACUUGAUCGAAAAAGUACUUCUGGUGGAUGUCAAUUUUUAGGAGGUAGACUUGUCAGCUGGUCCUCAAGAAAACAAAGUUGUGUUUCAUUAUCUACCACAGAAGCAGAAUACGUGGUCACAACCAGCUGCUGGUCCCAAGUCCUUUGGAUAAAGACACAACUGUUAGACUACAGAUACAGAAUGCUGCGGAUACCAAUCUAUUGUGACUCUGAAAGUGCCAUAGCGAUUUCUCAUAAUCCUAUUCAGCACUCCAAGACUAAACAUAUUGAACUAUGGUAUCACUUCAUCAAAGACCACAUUCUGAAAGUUAAUAUUGAACACAUCUUUGUCCCUACUCAUGAAGAGAUUGCUGGUGAUUUUACAAAAGAACUUGACUCUACAAAACUCAAUGUGUUCCUACAAAUGUUGGGAAUGAUGAAUCCGGACCCUAAAUUCUUCUUGAAUUAACAGGCACCGCAGACCUUCCUGGUCUCCAUUGCGGUUCUAACUGAAAGUUAUUGAUAAUAAAUGGUUUUGGAACAUUCUGUGUACCGCAGUUAAUGUACCGCAACCAUAUAUUAUUUCUAUCUUUCAUGGGUCCUUCUUGUUUGUUAUUACUAACUUUUGCUACAAGUGCUCUUCUUAGGUUCUCUCACUAUAGUCAUCCGCAAUACCAAAGAAGCCAUCCGCAAUGAUGUGUUCAUCCGCAGUCACAUUAAUUGCUUUACAGACGGUUCAUUCUUUUUGAAAACAAAAAUAGUGUGCGAUUUAAUGAUCCUUCAUUAAAUAAAACAUUAAAUAAAAACAUUCCUUUGAGAAACUGUCACAUUUUUCUCUCCCAAAACCUUGUGUCAGACCUAUUUUAGGUAUGAUGACAAAAUAAAGAUUUUCCAAAUCAAAUCCUCUAAAAUGUCUCUUCCUAUUACCCAAACCAUCCAUCCGUUACAACUUCUACUUUAUCGAACAUAUUUUUCUCACCCCCUCCACAUGUUCUCAAGACGUGAUCUGACAUUUCAUUAAAUGCAGAGUUUUUUUUUGGUUAAUCCCAAUUUUAAUCUUUAUCCAUUUUUGUCAAUAUGUGGUUAAGAUUAAAGAUACCUUUUUCACAGAUAAACCAUUUUUUACCCAAUUUCACCUAGGUCGAAAACCUUAACGUUUCCCGCUCCUACAAAUCACUAUAAAACCCUUUUCCUCUCCACAAAGAAACCUUUACGCUCUCAAAACCCUCAAUCUUUCUCUACAUUCUUCAAGCUCUUUCAAAAUCAACAAUGGUGAAAUUCGGCGCUUCUAAGAAACAAUCCAAAGCUUCUGGAUCAGCGAACCCAACUGGUUCAGAUUCUCCCACGAUUGCCUCGAGCAAUUUUAGAGCUAUUUUCGAUGAUCAACUCACUUACAUUACACCAACCAAACUGAUGAUCAAGUUCUUGAAGAAUCAUCCCCUUUUUGGACCUUUUGAUGCAUUUACAGACAUUGUUCCACUAUCCACUCUCUACAAGUGUGCCAUUUCUGCAUAUCACCCAGUCGAUAACCCUCAAGAAGUCCAUCUCAACCUUGUUAAUGAUGCUUUGGUCAUCUUGACCAAAGAAAAGUUCCUUUCAGCCAUCAAUCUUCUGAUUCAUCCAUCUGUGAAGUUCUUCACUCUAUCAAUGGCAGAUGUCACCACUGCAUUAUACCAAAUGGGCUAUCAGAAGAAGAUAAAAGGCAUUGGUGAGUUCAAGAAGAACCAAUUGCAUGCGGUAUGGCAGUUUGUCUGUCACUUUAUCAUCCGCAGUCUGUCUGGCAGAACCAAAGGCACAAACAGCAUGGGUUUAAAACUUCUAGAACUGGUUUGGAACAUCUUCAUCAUCCGCGAUGUGAACUACGGUCAGAUUCUAUGGGACGAUUUUCUCCAAUACAUUCCCAAGGAGCGCCCGAGGCAGAACCCAUCCGAGCUUACUUUUGCUCGAUUCUGGUCUUUAUGCAUAUCUGACUUGCAUGCGGAUGCCAAGAUUGACAUGGGUGACGACAUCAAUUUCUCCAUCACCAAAGACUUAAAAAGGUACAACCCUUCUUCUGAUCAAACUAUUUUUGGUCCCAUCCGCAGACUCCCUACCCACAUCCUUACUUCACUUGGUCUUGAGACUGUUGAUGUCUCAAACCACGUUGAGGCUACGGAAGGUAUUGACCCAUACCUUCCUACCCCGCCUCUUCCAUCCGUAGCUUUAAACCCUGAAGGUACCACAGUUCCUUCUUCUACCACUCUUUCUAACAUCUCUCAGAAAUGUAAACAUAGGGUUUCUUCUCUUCAUGGUCCCCGCACCACAAAGAAAUCUAGCACCCCCAAUAAGGAUGCCCUUAAACCAUCCAAACCAUCAAAGAAGAGAAAAUCACCACCAGUUAUCAUAACUGCUGAACCGAGUCGCCAUGACUCCGNUCUGAAGAGGAUGACCAACCAAUCUCUAUCCUUAAGAAACGAAAAGUUGAUCCCACUGACCAAAUGCAUGACUGGACCGAUACCUCAGCCUCUCAACAGGCUCCAGUAGUCCUUGGGAUGCCUACACAUCCAUUUGACAAAACCAUCCUUUUCCUUUCAGAUUCAGAAAGUGAGUCUAAAUCACAACAGAGAGGAGACUCCCUACUAGUACAUUCCCAAAGGGAUAAUACUGGUUAUCGCCCUAAAGUCUCCACGGCUUCCCGACUGCAUAUUUGUUCAUCCGAGGAGUUGAACUCCAUCCUCUUGAAUGUCGCCCAUACACUCCAAACACUGUCCCAUCCGCAAGGCACUUCUUCCGCCUUUGCCAGAACUGAGCCCAGGCCAAACUUGACCACGGGUCACGGAGACCAAGGAAGCUCAGGAAAUCCUACUCUGCUUACAUUACAUUCAGGUGGUUUAGGCACGGUGAGCACAAAUGUGCAAGGAUCCGUGAACCCAAGGGACACCUUGGUGCGUUUUUCAGGAAUUGACGGAGAAGACUCUAAUAAUUCUUGGAGCAGAUAUCAACCCUCUAACGAGGCUGAAGCCAAGAAAUAUGCCGCUUUUCGUAGGACAUUUCAAGCUCGCAAGCAUCAGCAGAUCAAGCAACAAUAACUCAAAGAACAAGAGAUUCAAGCUGUGGCAAAGUAUUGGGCGGAUGCCAUCAACAAUGCCAAUACCGUAGCCAAUAUCAUGAAGGUUAAAGAAUGGAUGUCCGCAAUGGCAGCCAAAGUUCAAAAAGCUCAACAAACUGCUGCUGAUCAACAUGUUCAUCAAGCUCCCCCUUCUCCAACUACCGCAGGUUCUCAGGAUGAAGAACCUGAAAUCAAAGUGAGCUCUACUCUAAUUUUUUGCUUCGAUGAUGAUGAACCACAAGAGGUAAACAAAUCAUCUCCUUCAGAUGACGACUUGAUGAUGUUCGAUGAAGAUGAAGAAAUCAGUGGGUCUCAUCACUCCAUAACUAAGCCAAAAGAAAAGAAGAAGAAGAAGAAGCACGCAGUCACAAGAAAAGAAUUUCUCAGUCUUCAAGCUAAAGUAGAUCAAAUCUUAGCUGCGGUCAAGCCGAAUCAACCGCAACCAGAAGACAGCCCAGGACCGCAGUCCCUGAUGGAAAGAAUCGAAAGAUUGGAAACAAAAGAGAGAUUGGCAGCGGAGCACAUCUCUUUAAAAGUUGAAAUGGGGAUUAGAUCACUUGACAACAAUUGUCAAGCUGAUCAUAAGGAGUUCAUGGUUGCUGCAGAACGUCUCAUCUCUGAGGUUACCGCAAUGAAAACCGACCUUCAAGCAGCGAUUGCGGAUCAGGCUUCACAUUCUGAGAAGUUGAUUGCUGAAACUCAUACUGCUUAUGAGUCAGCAAUCUCUGUUCUCCAAACAACUAUCAACAGAAUGCAACGCUCACUCUCCACCAACUUCCAUGGUCCGGAGAUUCUUCAGCUCACUAAGGAGAUUCACAAACUACUCUUCAAUCCCUCCAUCCCCAAUAACCAACAACCGGUAGAAGAGAUCAAAGCUAAAUUUCAAAUGAUCUUUGACAAGGUUGAUGGCCUUCGUCAAUGGCUUGAGGAGGCUCCGGGUCUGGAAUCCUUAAGAGGGGGAAGUGAAGAAGUCCAUCACUCUGACCAAUCUCCUUCACAUCAUCAAACUCCCCCAGUCUCUACUGAAAAAAUCCCCACACCCCAACCAUCUCAUCACAACUCCCCACUCCAUAAUACUCUUGAAAAACCAGAAACUCCCCCGCACAUCAAGAAUCUGGAGGAGUAUAUGUCGUCUCCGAGCUCAAACGAUUCUCCUGCCACUGCUCAGAGAAAAAGAGACUGGAAGGCAACCAAUCUGCCUGAAGAAGUAUGGAGACUCUACAGAUUCGACACAGUUAUGGAUGAAUUCUUGAUAAAUUCUUGGAUCAAUCCUCACAGAAGACUUCUUGAUGAUGACUAUGUCCCUAAUCUCACGUAUGCGGAACCCCCCUCAGACGGAUACUGGGAUGUCCCAAUCUCACCGAAUGCCAAAUACUUCACUGUAUUUCAGCAGUUCAGUCGCAGCCUUCCGGACGACGAAAGACUUCCUAUGGAGUUCGGGAGACUUAGCCAAUUCUAUGAUAAGCUUGCCUCUCCAGUUGAACACAUAUGGUCUAACGAUAGACCAUCCACAGUGAAGAAUUACAAGAUCAGGAAAUUCAUGAAGGUUGAGUCCAUCCAGUACACCCUAACUAGGAGGGAGCACGACUACAUCCGCACCCAGGCUGAUUUUCUGUGUAUGAACCCGGAAGAAGUGUUUCUCAUCGCCAAGGUCUUUCAGCACAAGUCUGAGAAGCAUCUAAAGAUGAAGAUCGCUCUUGAAAGGGACAACACCUUUCUUAAGGAAACAGUCUGUGACUUCGCAAAAAUAAAUGCAGACAUUCAUCCCAUCAUCUCCAAGAUUGCUGACUUGCCACCGCUUGACCCCGCACCCAUGCCUACCGAAGGCUAUGAAGAAAGAUCCUUAGGUGCAACAAAAUAUCCUAAGCUGGGAGUCAUUUUCAAGAGGAAGACUGAUAACGUCAAAUAUUUCAUUCCUAUGACUGCCAUACAUCGUCUUACCAGAAAAAAACUUGAGAUCUGCCGCAACGUAGUUGAAAAAUCCAAGCAUACAACCGCAGAGGUCAAGUUUGAAAUACUGAGAAGAAUCAACUGGUUAGAGAACGUUAGGAAGUUUUGGUGGAUACUGAUCAAGUUCAUUAAACUUGAUAGCUGAUCUAAGUUAAAGAGGUCACUUAGGGGGAAAUUGUUGAAUCAAAAAGUGACCCUCUUGAACUUUUGCUACCGCAGCGCCCAAGCCACCGCAGUCAAGCAAUCUCUUCAUCGACUGUUAUCCAAACUCUUCAGCACCGCAGUCUAUAUCUUUACUUAGUUUAUUUUGUCUGUCCUGUAAAACACUCUAAUGUCCAGUAUGCCUUGCAUGGCUACUCUUAGAGUUGUAAACUUCUCUAUAAAUAGACAUCAUUUCUAAUGUAUUUAGUACCAGUGUGAAUCUCUUAUCAAAUUAUAAUACACAUCUUCAAGUUCUCAUUCUAUCUUACUUAUCAAAGCUUCUUACUCACAUCAUCUCUCUUCGGAGCAAGUCACUUGUGACUUAAUCACUAAGCUAGAUCUCACUAACUAACUUGGUUUGAAUGCAUUCCUUGUUAUGAAUCUGCUUUUGUGUAUACUUGAUAUAACAAUUGUUGUCAUUUACAUUUCUUUACUUUUCCGCAUCUAACUCACUAACUUCUAACUCUUAAUAUUAUUGUUGAGCUAACAGAUCCUUCGAGAUUAACUAUUCCGCUAUAUACUUGUUCUAACAUUUCGUUCAAGUGUGUCUCAAAGUUUUUCUCUCAACAUUGGGCCUUGUGGCCCAAUAUACAGUUGUACUUUGAUGCCAGGCCCAUCAGUGAAGGAAAGACCUUUGGGCAAUUAUGGAGGAACUUGGACUUAGAAUUUUGGGCUCUUUGAUUAGGUUGAGUUAUAAUCCUAUUUAGGGUAUUUGUAUAUUUGUUCAGUUUGAGAUUUUGGCUGAUAGUUGAGUAGCGAUUGUUUUCAGGAGAUUAAGGUGAGUCUUCUCACUAUACCAGUGGGUCGAAGGCACCAAUGCCGACCCAUUACUUGAUAUGAGAUUUUAAUUGCAGAAUAUGCAAUGGUUUUGUGAUUUGAUAUGUAUUGACUUAUGUGAAGACCACGAGGGGAGACCAUGGCACUUGGUAAGACCAUCAAAGGGAGCCCAUGACACUUAGAUGUAAGACCAUGGGGGUAGCCUAAGGCAUUCCAAAUGAAGACCAUGGAUGGCGUCCAUGGCAAAUCUACUUAUAUAUGUGCAUGACAUUAUGUGGUUAUGUGUAUUGUGUAUUUUGGGAAACUCACUAAGCGUGUGCUUGCAGUUUUGGUUGGGUGUUUUAGGUAUUUAUGGUUCCAAGGCCAAGGGCCCAGCUAGAUGGUGCAGUGUACACUCUCCAGUAUUUCUGCACUAGUUGUUUUGCAUACUCUGAUCUUUUAAGCAAUGUGUUUAUGUAAUGGAAUUUUGGAAAAAACAAAUAUGAAUGAGAUUUCUAAUUAUUAAAUGAAAAAUUUUAUCUAAAUUUUUGUGCUGUUACAGUUAGCGUUUCUGAGUCUUGAGUGAUUUCUUCAAGAAGUCCUCUAUCUACACAAUACUAACUACGUGGUUUUUAUAUAGAGAAAGAAUAAAUGACACAUGAACAAGAUGAAAUACCAAAGUGAGAGGGUGUGUGUGUUAAAGGUGUUGUGUGUUAUGUAUUGUGUGUGUAUGUUUAUAUGGUGUGUAAACUCCGUACUCGAUAUUUCCCUUAAGUUGGUUCCUAAAUAUCAAUAUAAUUGUACUCGUGUUCCCAAUAAUAAUUUUUAUUAUAUUAUUAUUUUUUUAAUUUUAAUUUUUAUUUAAUUUUUAUUUAUAUUAUUGUGUGUGUAUAAUCUCUAUUAAACACCUUUCCCCACCAGAAAAAGACUUUAUAAUAGGCUCAAUUACAAGAAAUAAUAGUAAAAAGAUGAAAAACAAACAAGAAACAAUUCAAUCCAAAUCACUCCAGCCCUUCGUAUGCCCAAUAUGUGGGUCACUUAGUAAGAAAUAAAGACUAUAAACACUAUUAAGAUGCGAUAUUAACAAAUAUUAUCAUAGACCAUAUUUGUACUAAACAAACUUUAUUUUUUCUUACAAUAAACUUACAGAUGAACCUUAAAAUAUCAUACAAAUAUAUGGGAACUUCGAACUAAAAUUACAUGAUAUUAAAGGACUUAAGGUUUUCCCUUUCGGGAAAUCCCUUAAAAAACUAAAAGUAAAUAAAUGAAAGAAACUUACAUGAAAAUUUGGAUAUCUUACAACGUUUAUACAACAAAUUUGAAGAAGAGCUAAAGAAUUUUUAAGUAAAUGGGUUGAGAGAAAAUGAGAGGGAGAGGUAUUUUUCUUCUUAGUAGUUGUGUCUAACUUCUAAACAAUC